This 842-nucleotide long non-coding RNA is filed under the name Gallus gallus (chicken). RNAcentral describes it as "long non-coding RNA NONGGAT001523". Lineage: Eukaryota; Metazoa; Chordata; Aves; Galliformes; Phasianidae. The record is from RNAcentral.
CUGGGCAUGUCCUCUCACAGGUCAGAAGUCCCGCAAGAAGCACGCUCACCUGAAGGCAGACCCUGAAGCUCCAACCCCUAUGGUACGAAGUUUUGUUGUUGGUGAGGCUGCUGCUGGGGCUAGAAGAUGGUUCCUUCGCCCUCUCAGGCUGCUCCCACAAGUGAUGCAUGAAUCUUCACGUUCCCCUCUCAUGUGCACGCUUCUGCUGCUAAGCCCUGGCUCUGUCCAUCCAGGUCACAACACGUGCCUCAAAACGGCGUUCUGGGGGUGCAGAGGAGCCCCCAAAGCCAGCCGUGAAGGAGGAGGAAGAGAAGGCAGCUCCUGAUGGGCCAAGGAAGGGACGUGCCCGUGGGAAGAAGAAGGUGGCUGCUGCUCCAACCUUAUCAGAGCCAGAUGCUCCGGUCAGAGCAAAAAGAAACCGGACAUCAGCACGCAGGGGCAGAGGUGCAGCUCCUGCAGUGUGAGUACUGCACACUGCCUUCCGCACACCUCAGCCUUUGGAAACGUGUGACACUGCCUCUGCUGUGGAGUCACGCUGGCCUGGGCUGCCUGGUGUUGCUUUCAGGCAUGCCUGCUUGUAGCACUUGCUCUUUGCAACACGACUGCUCUUGCAGCCUCAGGGAUGGGGGCAGGCUGGCGCUCCUCCCCCUUUCUGUUCUUAAAUACUUUUUUACAACCUUGCUUGUCCCUUCUGAGUGGUUUUAGAAUCAGUUCCUCAAAGGGACCACUGAUUGUGCAUCACGUCAGAUUCUGAUCCCUCCCUAUACCCUCUUUCUUUUUUUAAUCGCUGCCUGGAUCACCGAGAAAGCUGGUUUUAGAUGGUUAAUAAAAGUAUUUUGUGU